UUGCCGCCGGUAGUGUGAGAAGUUCAUUAAACCUUAUCAUUUAGAGGAAGGAGAAGUCGUAACAAGGUUUCCGUAGGUGAACCUGCGGAAGGAUCAUUGCACACACAAACUGCAAAGCCAACCCUCAAUAACUUGGCGCCUCGUGGCGCGACCUCCUCUUCUGGACGGGGGCGCGCUGCGGGGUGACUUGGUGCUACCUUAACAAAUAUUCCGAAGCUCUUCGGGUGCUUGCUCUUCGGGAUACUCGGGGUGUACUUACUUGGGCGUCCUCCUCCUCUUCAAGGCUGCAUUCAGCUCUCAGCCUGUCGCCCCCGGCCGGAACUUUGGCGCGCGGUGCUCGGUCUAGGCCGAAUCCACUUGCGGUCACGGGACUGGAUCCGGGAUUAGUACCGGCAGGCGGGGAGUGCUACCGCGGGAGGCUAGGGAUGGGUUCCAGCGCCCAAGUACUCGCACCACGAGUUCCUUCCGAGUGCAAGUGGCUCGUCGGGUGGAAGAAGCCCGAUGAAAUUUUUUCUAAGUCCCACAAGACUUGAGACCCUUAUUUUGACCCGGGAGUUUGGGCUCACUUCCCCGGGAGUGGGCUCGGACACGAGUUGAAUCUAAUCUUAACUUAGAACAACUCUCAGCAACGGAUAUCUUGGCUCUUGCAACGAUGAAGAACGCAGCGAAAUGCGAUACGUAGUGUGAAUUGCAGAAUUCCGCGAAUCAUCGAGUUUUUGAACGCAAGUUGCGCCCGAGGCUUGUCCAAGGGCAUUUCGUUAGAGCGUCACCGCGCCCCCCCACCACACUCCCCAAGUACUUUUGUACUUGUGCGCCGGUUUGAGUGGAUCUGGCCGUCCCGGAGUGCGAAGGUACCCGGGUCGGCUGAAAUGGAGGGAAUUUGGCCGCCGUGGCAUCACUUGCCCCGCGAUCAGGUGUGAUUACGAACUCCCACGGCACUUAGUGUCGUGGGACUUGGGUCUUCCAAGUGCGGGGCUCCCGGUGAGCCCGAGUGCGUGCGAGUUCCACAGCAGGCUACCUUAUACUUAAGACCUUCCACUCUGUGGAAGGCCACGAGGAAACGAAGAGGUAACGCAUCGGACCUCUAAUCGGAAAAGACUACCCGCCGAGUUUAAGCAUAUCACAAGCGAGACAGAA
RNAcentral lists this ribosomal RNA (1137 nucleotides) under Ptychostomum pseudotriquetrum. RNAcentral describes it as "eukaryotic LSU rRNA". The stretch from base 618 to 769 matches the Rfam family "5.8S ribosomal RNA". Lineage: Eukaryota; Viridiplantae; Streptophyta; Bryopsida; Bryales; Bryaceae. The record is from RNAcentral.